GCAUCUUUCCCACUGAACUUGCCUUGGCCAUUUUUCCCCUAGUGUUGCCUCUUAACGUGACCCUCAACUCAUUCUUCAACAACUAGAGUAAUCUGGUUAAACUGAAAAUUAAAUCACUUUAGUCUCCUACGUAAAUCUCUUAAUGGCUACUUAUUGUAUUCAGAAUGAAGUCUAAUAUUGCACUAGAACCUUGCCCCCGUCUGCCCAUGCUAGCCAUUAGUGCUGCUCACCCAUGUUUUCCAUUUCUUCUCCCCUUGCAGGCACAUGGGGUGAUUGCAUACCCUUAAAGAGAAGAUAGGACUGCAAGACUUGCUUUGGGCAGUGAAAUAAGGAAUUGCAACAAAUCCCCAAACUGGAGUGGAUUUCUGGGUGAUCCAAGAAGCAGGCACAUAUGUAUUUUUGCCAGUGACCAUACUUUGGGAGCCUCAGCUGAAAUGAUAUGGUCACUACCGAUGAAUGCAGUGACUUCUCAGUGAGCUGGCCUCUAGACCCAGUUACCAGAAAAAGGCAAUUCUCAGACUUCAUCUUCUCCAGAUCAUGUGAAAAAUCAUCAGAAGGUAUUGAAAACAAGACUGCCCAUACCCAUUGACUCCAAGGCCCUGCCAAGGCAUUUCUUUGGUGUUAUGUUUCAAAAUUCCCAUUUCUAGAGACAGAGAAACUGUCCUACUGGACCUCCCCAAGGAAUGGGCAUCUAGGGCUCCGUAGCCAUGUCUUUGUAUGUAAGCAGAGUAGGGUCACAUUGAUCAGACAGCACUCUUUCGUCCUGGACUGUGUGCAAUCUGGCCUAGGCAAAUCUCUUCUUUUUUGAAGGACAAGACCAUGUGUCCACGAUGAAGUUCAAAAUUCCUACACCUGAGUAUCCAGUUCUUGCUCAUAGCUAGAGGACCAAGCUGUGGCUCUCCCUCCUGGGUUCUUUGAUGAGGUCAUCGAUGGUUUCAACAUUGAGACAUUUGGCUGAGUAGAAAGCUUCAGGCUGGGCCAUACAAGCCCAGGUUCCUGGCAGUUUGAGAGAUCCUGGGAGUUUUCCUCUGGGGAAAUGGAUAGUAGGCUGGUUUUCCAGACCCGUGUGGGUUCUUUUUGGAAGGAGGGCGCCGAAUGUCCAUAUUUAAGCCAGAUCCCACUGCCUUUGUUUGGGCAUUGCCCACUGGACAUUCACGCCGGGCUGUUUGUAGGAUGGUAGUCCCUUGCGGAGUCAUCUGAUCAUUUUCAAACAAGCCUGGGUCUCCUUCCUGAGGGAGCCUUUGCUCAGACCCCAUGAGCUUGUCCUUGUGUUUUACUGGCAGAUUGGUUUCCUGGUGGAAGGUUUGGACGCAGCGGUACAUCUCCAGGUGCCUGUGCCAUGGAGACGCAGGGGCCUGGAGACAGUCUCUGUCAGCCUCCUCCAGCAUCCCCUCUGCCUCCGGCUCUGCCUCCUCCAGCAACAGCGAAUGCCUUCUGUCCUUGUUAAUCCAAACCGCACUGAGUAUGGGCUCAGCAGGAGCAGGCAUGUAGGCUCCUGACAAAGCAAGACACAAGCAGGGUCAGCACUGGAACGUACAGGAGCAGCUCUCAUUUUGGGGGUCUCAGUGCUUUCGAGCCGUAGGAAUGCCAUCCCCGAGUGUCAAGGCAACCAGAUAGUCAGUACACACUGCUUGUGUGUUUACACACAUGCACGGAUCCCACAUGAUCCCACUUUAUAUGCUCACACGUGUCCACUCCCUCCCGUGCCCACACAUCCACACCCACACAAACUCUAACACAUGCACACACACAUACACACUCAGACACAACUAUUCAUUCAUUCAGCAAGUAUUUACUGAGCACUUAUUAUGUGCUGGGCAUUACUUAUUCUAGGUUCCGGGAACACGGCAGUAAGCACUGAGACAAAACCCACAUCUUCACGGAUAUGUUCUAGCGGGGUAGAAACACAGUGAGCAAACGAACAUGUUGUAAUAAAAUUGCAGGUGGUAACCAAUGCUGUGAAGAAAAACUCAAGCAGAGCAGAGUUGAGUAACAGACUCCCGGUCUUAGCUGCAGGGAGGGAGUGACCCGAGGUAGAGCUAGGGAACCAACGUUCAGGCUGAAAGAGUGGGACAGAGUCACGUUCACUCACCGGUGGGAAAGAUUACUCUUAACUUACGGGGUUUGUGUUCUGGGGUUCCCGUAAUGCGUUUACCACCCAAGGUGGAGGAGGGGGAGCCAUAUUUCAAAGCAGCCCCUUUUGGAGGCCCGGCUGCUCUCCCUCUCCCAUCUCACAGACGUUGUUCUCGGAACACAUGUCCAGGCCGAUGUCCCUCUUCUUUCUCAGGGACCUAUUUUUACCACCUUGUGGCCCACAACAGCUUAUUGUCCGCCCUUGGGGGCCGAGAGGCUUGUGGGCAUGACUGAAAGGUGUUCCAAAGAGAGUAGGUCCGUGACCGGCCUGGAGUUGCGUCUGGACCCUCCCUGGAGCUCUCUUGAGCCUUCUGGCAUUUGUCACUGCGGGGUCCUGGACGGGUGAGUGCUGGCAGGCGGGGACAGACCGUGCUGAGCUAUGAAGACGGAGGGAAGCCCCUGAGAGAAACAGGACUGGGGCGGCCAUCUCUGCAAGCAGGGGAGGGACUGGAAAUGUGUUCCCGCUUCAGGACUACCAGAUUUUUCUCAGCCUGACAAACAUGGACGCCCUUACAAAAAGUCAAAGUGUCAUGUACUUAUUUGAGAACAGAGGAAGAGGGGACGCGAUGGAGAACGUAGGAACAAGGACCCUCUCCAGUGUGUCCAGGUGGACAGGCGGGUCUCGGUCGCAGUCAGAAGCCUCCUCAGCGGUCAGUCCCAGCCUGGGGUCCACAGAGGACAAGGGAAAGGACGAAGCAGGAGGGACCCCUGGACGCUGACCCUAGAAUGGAUCCGGCUGCGUGGCUGCCCUCCCCUGGGAGUCAAGUCUUCCCUGACAAAGGCAGUGUUCGACCAGCCCUCCUGGCAUCACCCCGCCCUAACUGGUUACCAGAUGCUGGCUAGGGGAGAAGGGCCCUGGGUCACAGAGUGUGGGAGAGAGAGCCAGAGGGGAGGGGUGGGGCAGGGGGUGGUGAGUUCUGUGGGGCAUGUCGAGCUGGACUGUCUUUGGGAUGUGCCCAUGACGUGGAUUUGUGGGUCUGAAUUGCGGGUCUGUUAAGCAUGGUACUUUCAUUUGAUAGUGGUUUAAUUUAAUAAAUGUUUGCUGAAUGACUGAAUGAAUAAAACGUUCGAGGA
Long non-coding RNA from Ailuropoda melanoleuca (giant panda), 3207 nucleotides. RefSeq lists it as uncharacterized. The record is from RefSeq and is a predicted model, not a curated record. The transcript has 3 exons. Lineage: Eukaryota; Metazoa; Chordata; Mammalia; Carnivora; Ursidae.